This 433-nucleotide ribosomal RNA is filed under the name uncultured bacterium. RNAcentral describes it as "partial 16S ribosomal RNA". It matches the Rfam family "Bacterial small subunit ribosomal RNA", at positions 29 to 507 of the family's 1533-position model. The record is from RNAcentral.
AACGAACGCUGGCGGCAUGCCUAACACAUGCAAGUCGAACGAGACCUUCGGGUCUAGUGGCGUACGGGUGCGUAACGCGUGGGAACCUGCCCUUAGGUUCGGAAUAACUCAGAGAAAUUUGAGCUAAUACCGGAUAAUGUCUUCGGCCCAAUGAUUUAUCGCCUUUGGAUGGGCCCGCGUAGGAUUAGCUUGUUGGUGGGGUAAUGGCCUACCAAGGCGACGAUCCUUAGCUGGUCUGAGAGGAUGAUCAGCCACACUGGGAAUGAGACACGGCCCAGACUCCUACGGGAGGCAGCAGUGGGGAAUAUUGGACAAUGGGCGAAAGCCUGAUCCAGCAAUGCCGCGUGAGUGAUGAAGGCCUUAGGGUUGUAAAGCUCUUUUACCAGGGAUGAUAAUGACAGUACCUGGAGAAUAAGCUCCGGCUAACUCCGUG